UGCCAGGCACGGCUCGGAGCCAUGACAUCUACCUCCCGAGGCAGGGCUACUGAGUCCCACUUCAUAGCUGAAGACCACAGGGAUGUGACUCUGGCCCACAGCCCUCAUGUGGAGUCUGACACACAGUGAGUGCUGCGAAGAGCAUUGUUGAGCAGACCCUGCACGGUGCCAAGUCGAAGGGUGGCCCUGUCUCCUUCGGGAAGUCCUGCACACUGCACACAUACCCUCCCUCACGCCAAGCGGGAAUCAAGACAGGAGAACUGAGGUUUGAAGAGGGUAGAGAAGCUCUAACACAACGACCCAAGCGAGCAACAGCAGAGAGGGUGAUGCUCCCUGUAAACCAGCUCAGUGCUUGGCUUCGGGCUGGGCAGAGGGAUCAGCUGCCUCAGAGCCUGUGUGCUGAGUACCGCUCCGGGGACCAAGAGAUGACAGAAGGGAACCUCUUUCUUUCUUUCUUUCUUUUUUUUUAAAAAAAAAAAAAAAAAAACACACACAAAACCAUGAGAAUACAUUCCCAGCAUUAUUAGUUCUUUCUGGUUUUUUGCUCACCCCCUCAUCUGGGUCCAAGCCCCUCACAACCAAAGGAACCAAUACCGGAUGGUUCAAUAAAUUAAUAAGCACAUCAGUCAACUUCGUAAUAAAAUG
Tupaia belangeri chinensis (Chinese tree shrew) is the source of this 645-nucleotide long non-coding RNA. RefSeq lists it as uncharacterized. The record is from RefSeq and is a predicted model, not a curated record. The transcript is spliced from 3 exons. NCBI's taxonomy places the organism in Eukaryota, Metazoa, Chordata, Mammalia, Scandentia, Tupaiidae.